This 492-nucleotide ribosomal RNA is filed under the name uncultured bacterium. RNAcentral's name for it is "partial 16S ribosomal RNA". It matches the Rfam family "Bacterial small subunit ribosomal RNA", at positions 29 to 507 of the family's 1533-position model. The record is from RNAcentral.
AGUGAACGCUGGCGGUAGGCCUAACACAUGCAAGUCGAACGGCAGCACAGUAAGAGCUUGCUCUUACGGGUGGCGAGUGGCGGACUGGUGAGGAAUACAUCGGAAUCUACUUUUUCGUGGGGGAUAACGUAGGGAAACUUACGCUAAUACCGCAUACGACCUACGGGUGAAAGCAGGGGAUCUUCGGACCUUGCGCGAUUGAAUGAGCCGAUGUCGGAUUAGCUAGUUGGCGGGGUAAAGGCCCACCAAGGCGACGAUCCGUAGCUGGUCUGAGAGGAUGAUCAGCCACACUGGAACUGAGACACGGUCCAGACUCCUACGGGAGGCAGCAGUGGGGAAUAUUGGACAAUGGGCGCAAGCAUGAUCCAGCCAUACCGCGUGGGUGAAGAAGGCCUUCGGGUUGUAAAGCCCUUUUGUUGGGAAAGAAAAGCAGCAGGUUAAUACCCCGCUGUUCUGACGGUACCCAAAGAAUAAGCACCGGCUAACUUCGUG